This 307-nucleotide unclassified non-coding RNA is filed under the name uncultured fungus. RNAcentral describes it as "partial contains 5.8S ribosomal RNA, internal transcribed spacer 2, and large subunit ribosomal RNA". The record is from RNAcentral. Lineage: Eukaryota; Fungi.
AACACACCUUGCGCUCCAUGGUAUUCCGAGGAGCAUGCCUGUUUGAGUGUCAUUAAAUUCUCAACCUCACCCAUUUUGUCAUGAAGUGGUCUGUGUAGGCUUGGAUGUGGGGGCUUGCAGGUCCGACCUUUUGGGUUGGUCUGCUCCUCUGAAAUGCAUUAGUGGGUUGUGCCCCUAAUCUAUUGGUGUGAUAAUUAUCUACGCCGUGGAUCAGGAUUGGCGAUCAAUGACCUGCUGAUAACCGUCCGUCUCGGACAGCUUUGACAUUUUUGACCUCAAAUCAGGUAAGACUACCCGCUGAACUUAA